CACGCUGUAAACGGUGGGCACUAGGUGUGGGAUCCUUUCCAUGGGUUCCGUGCCGUAGCUAACGCAUUAAGUGCCCCGCCUGGGGAGUACGGCCGCAAGGCUAAAACUCAAAGGAAUUGACGGGGGCCCGCACAAGCGGCGGAGCAUGCGGAUUAAUUCGAUGCAACGCGAAGAACCUUACCUGGGUUUGACAUAUGCCGGAAGCAUUCAGAGAUGGGUGUGCCUUUUUGGCCGGUUUACAGGUGG
Molecule: ribosomal RNA, 246 nt
Filed under: uncultured Actinomycetales bacterium
Lineage: Bacteria; Bacillati; Actinomycetota; Actinomycetes; Actinomycetales
Description: partial 16S ribosomal RNA
Rfam family: Bacterial small subunit ribosomal RNA
Source: RNAcentral